CUGAAUUGACUACAGGGGAAAAUAAUUGGGGGAAAGAGCGAUGAGGAAAGUGGGGGAGGAAAUGUCUCCCUCAGAUGCAAAGGCAUUUCCCUUCCCUUCCCUCCCCUUCGCCCCGGCUUACAUUUUCUGCACGGGUUUCCGCCGCUUGCGGCUGGCGUAGGUGACAUUGGGGUUCAUCCUCCUGCUGCUCCCGCUGCUCCCGCCGCGGCUCCAGCGCCUCCGGCCUCAAGAGAUUGUUAUUUGUGUGUGUCAAAUGUAUACGCUUCAAAACACACACACCAAAAGCACCCCACCCCACCCCCCCACCCCCUUUGAGGCCUCCCACCAGCGAGUGGUAAAGGCAGAAUCUCCUCAGAGAAGAAGCAGGUCGCGCGGCCCGGCCUCCUCCGCCCCGCCGUCAAUCCCACUCCAGAGUCCCUUCUUCGGCUGAGAGGAAGGGAGGGAGGAGGGGAGCCAGGUGCUUGGCGCCGGCAACACCCACUCGUCGCCGCCGUCGUCGUCCUCCUCGCUCCGUUUUCGGGGCGGAGAGACAGGUGCGGAGGCGGCCACUCCGUCCCUCCUCCUUCUCCUCAGAGAGAGAGAGAGAAGCCUCCCUUCUCUUCCUUUCCCGUCAGCACAGCCGCCGUCCUCAGGGAGGAAGGAGGGCCUCGCCUCACGCACAGGCGCUCCCUCCGUUUAUUCGCUCUUUCUGCCUCGGUCUCAGCGUCGGGAGCCGAGCCUUCGCUCUCCUUGCAGGCCCGGCCCACCGCCCACCGAGCAGCAGCAGCAGCAGGAGGAGGAGGCCUCGGUGGGGAGGCGCCGGGAGGCGUCAAGGGGGCGGCGCGGCGCCAUGUUGGGAAGAGAUCAAAGAAAGACCUGGCCUUCCUCACUGGUUGGAAAAGCAGACUUCCAUUUGGUCCCAAGCAAGAAAGUCAAGCAACACAUGCCAUAUACUAAUUUCCAGAGAUGAAAGUGAGAAUUCCCCUGGAUCUAGAGAAGACCAAGAGGACCAACUUUGCUCCAAAUCAAGAGGCUAA
This 1016-nucleotide long non-coding RNA is filed under the name Anolis carolinensis (green anole). RNAcentral's name for it is "lncRNA (ENSACAG00000035890.1)". The record is from RNAcentral. Lineage: Eukaryota; Metazoa; Chordata; Lepidosauria; Squamata; Anolidae.